RNAcentral lists this ribosomal RNA (1483 nucleotides) under metagenome. RNAcentral describes it as "bacterial LSU rRNA". It matches the Rfam family "Bacterial large subunit ribosomal RNA", at positions 1458 to 2925 of the family's 2925-position model. The record is from RNAcentral.
CAAGCGACGGGGUGACGCAGGAAGGUAGCCAUACCAGUCAGUGGUAAUACUGGGGCAAGCCCGUAGCGUGAGAUCUAGGUAAAUCCGGAUUUCGUGAAGCGUGAGAGGUGAUGCAUAGCCGAGUGAGGCGAAUCUGGUGAUCCUAUGCUGCCGAGAAAAGCCUCUAGCGAGCACACACACGGCCCGUACCCCAAACCGACACAGGUGGUCAGGUAGAGAAUACCAAGGCGUACGAGUGAACUAUGGUUAAGGAACUCGGCAAAAUACCCCCGUAACUUCGGGAGAAGGGGGACCCCUUACUGUCAUGGCACGUGCUGCCGGCAGCGGUGGGGGGUCGCAGAAACCAGUGAGAAGCGACUGUUUACUAAAAACACAGGUCCGUGCGAAGUCGCAAGACGAUGUAUACGGACUGACGCCUGCCCGGUGCUGGAAGGUUAAGAGGACCGGUUAAUCCCUUCGGGGGUGAAGCUGAGAAUUUAAGCCCCAGUAAGCGGCGGUGGUAACUAUAACCAUCCUAAGGUAGCGAAAUUCCUUGUCGGGUAAGUUCCGACCUGCACGAAUGGCGUAACGACUUCUCAACUGUCUCAACCAUAGACUCGGCGAAAUUGCACUACGAGUAAAGAUGCUCGUUACGCGCGGCAGGACGAAAAGACCCCGGGACCUUCACUACAACUUGGUAUUGGAGUUCGUUACGGUUUGUGUAGGAUAGGUGGGAGACUGUGAAAUUCACACGCCAGUGUGGGUGGAGUCGUUGUUGAAAUACCACUCUGAUCGUAUUGGGCUUCUAACUUCGAACCGUAUAUCCGGUUCAGGGACAGUGCCUGGUGGGUAGUUUAACUGGGGCGGUUGCCUCCAAAAAUGUAACGGAGGCGCCCAAAGGUUCCCUCAACCUGGACGGCAAUCAGGUGUUGAGUGCAAGUGCACAAGGGAGCUUGACUGCGAGACGUACAUGUCGAGCAGGGACGAAAGUCGGGACUAGUGAUCCGGCACCCCCGAGUGGAAGGGGUGUCGCUCAACGGAUAAAAGGUACCCCGGGGAUAACAGGCUGAUCUUCCCCAAGAGUCCAUAUCGACGGGAUGGUUUGGCACCUCGAUGUCGGCUCGUCGCAUCCUGGGGCUGGAGCAGGUCCCAAGGGUUGGGCUGUUCGCCCAUUAAAGCGGCACGCGAGCUGGGUUUAGAACGUCGUGAGACAGUUCGGUCUCUAUCCGCCGCGCGCGUCAGAAACUUGAGGAAACCUGUCCCUAGUACGAGAGGACCGGGACGGACGAACCUCUGGUCUACCAGUUGUCCCACCAGGGGCACGGCUGGAUAGCUACGUUCGGACAGGAUAACCGCUGAAAGCAUCUAAGCGGGAAACCUCUUCCAAGACCAGGUUUCUCACCCUUUUAGAGGGAUAAGGCCCCCCGCAGACCACGGGAUCGAUAGACCAGACCUAGAAACCCCGCAAGGGGCGCAGGGAACUGGCACUAACCGGCCGAAAACU